Molecule: long non-coding RNA, 470 nt
Organism: Rosa rugosa (rugosa rose)
Lineage: Eukaryota; Viridiplantae; Streptophyta; Magnoliopsida; Rosales; Rosaceae
Exons: 4
Source: RefSeq, a predicted model, not a curated record
AUUAUUUGAUUUUGGAUUUCUUGUUACAGUUUUUGAAGGGGCAGCUGGGAGUCAAGUUCAAGCCAUAUUCAAAGUAUCCUCCGUGUUACAAAGAUGUUAGUUUUUGGAUCAGUGAAUCUUUCACCUAAAACAAUUUAUGUGAAGUUGUUAGAGAGGUUGUUGGAGAUCUUGCUGAGGAGGUGCAAUUGAUAGACAAUUUCACAAACAAGAAAGGAAUGACCAGUCACUGUUACAGGAUUGCUUAUAGGUCUAUGGAACGAUCACUUACAGACGAGGAAGUCAAUAAAUUGCAGGGUACUGUUAGAGAGUUGGUUGAGAGCAAGUUGAAGGUUAUCUUGAGAUGAGAGUUCCUAGUGUAGUAGCCUAUUAGCUAAAAAUUAUGUAAAUUCUGAACUUCGUUUAUAGGUGUUGAAUUUUUGCUUAACCAUGUAAAAUCCUGUCUUGUUUCUGACCAACUGUAUUUGAGCCUG